RNAcentral lists this transfer RNA (65 nucleotides) under Sclomina erinacea. Its description in RNAcentral is "tRNA-Trp". Lineage: Eukaryota; Metazoa; Arthropoda; Insecta; Hemiptera; Reduviidae. The record is from RNAcentral.
AAAGCUUUAAGUUAAAAAACUAUUAACCUUCAAAGUUAAAAUUAUAGGAUGUCCUAUAAGCUUUA